This 433-nucleotide ribosomal RNA is filed under the name uncultured bacterium. Its description in RNAcentral is "bacterial SSU rRNA". It matches the Rfam family "Bacterial small subunit ribosomal RNA", at positions 960 to 1392 of the family's 1533-position model. The record is from RNAcentral.
CGCGAAGAACCUUACCUGGGCUCGAACGGCUUUUCAACGACGGUGGAAACAUCGUUAUCCCGCAAGGGAGUAGAGUCGAGGUGCUGCAUGGCUGUCGUCAGCUCGUGUCGUGAGAUGUUGGGUUAAGUCCCGCAACGAGCGCAACCCUUGUCCUGUGUUGCCAUCAUUCAGUUGGGCACUCUCAGGAGACCGCCAGCGAUAAGUUGGAGGAAGGUGGGGAUGACGUCAAGUCAUCAUGGCCUUUAUGUCCAGGGCUACACACGUGCUACAAUGGGCGGUACAAAGCGCUGCAAACCCGCGAGGGGGAGCCAAUCGCAUAAAACCGUUCUCAGUUCGGAUCGCAGGCUGCAGCUCGCCUGCGUGAAGCUGGAAUCGCUAGUAAUGGUAUAUCAGAAUGAUACCGUGAAUACGUUCCCGGGCCUUGUACACACCG